CCUACGGGAGACAGCAGUGAGGAAUAUUGGUCAAUGGCCGAGAGGCUGAACCAGCCAAGUCGCGUGAGGGAAGACGGCCCUACGGGUUGUAAACCUCUUUUGCCGGGGAGCAAAACGCGUCACGUGUGACGCAUCGAGAGUACCCGGAGAAAAAGCAUCGGCUAACUCCGUGCCAGCAGCCGCGGCAAUACGGAGGAUGCGAGCGUUAUCCGGAUUUAUUGGGUUUAAAGGGUGCGCAGGCGGCGGGUGAAGUCAGCGGUAAAAUUGCGGGGCUCAACCCCGUAAUGCCGUUGAAACUGCAUAGUUAGUGUGGGCGAGAAGGAGGAGGAAGGCGUGGUGUAGCGGU
Molecule: ribosomal RNA, 346 nt
Filed under: uncultured bacterium
Lineage: Bacteria
Description: partial 16S ribosomal RNA
Rfam family: Bacterial small subunit ribosomal RNA
Source: RNAcentral